This 326-nucleotide ribosomal RNA is filed under the name uncultured eukaryote. RNAcentral describes it as "partial 18S ribosomal RNA". It matches the Rfam family "Eukaryotic small subunit ribosomal RNA", at positions 1470 to 1796 of the family's 1831-position model. The record is from RNAcentral.
CCCUUAGAUGUUCUGGGCCGCACGCGCGCUACACUGAUGCAUUCAACAAGCCUAGCCUUGACCGAGAGGUCCGGGUAAUCUUUGAAACUGCAUCGUGAUGGGGCUAGAUUAUUGCAAUUAUUAAUCUUCAACGAGGAAUGCCUAGUAAGCGUGAUUCAUCAAAUCGCGUUGAUUACGUCCCUGCCCUUUGUACACACCGCCCGUCGCUCCUACCGAUUGAAUGUGUUGGUGAGGAGCUAGGAUUGGCAGCAGUUGGUGGUUCGCCACCGGCUAUUGCUGAGAAGUCCUCCAAACCGCCCCAUUUAGAGGAAGGAGAAGUCGUAACA